This 664-nucleotide ribosomal RNA is filed under the name Firmicutes bacterium TH-S33. RNAcentral describes it as "bacterial SSU rRNA". It matches the Rfam family "Bacterial small subunit ribosomal RNA", at positions 46 to 693 of the family's 1533-position model. The record is from RNAcentral. Lineage: Bacteria; Bacillati; Bacillota.
GCCUAAUACAUGCAAGUCGAGCGAACUUGCGGGAGCUUGCUCCCAAAAGUUAGCGGCGGACGGGUGAGUAACACGUGGGCAACCUGCCUGUAAGACUGGGAUAACUUCGGGAAACCGGAGCUAAUACCGGAUAAUUCUUAUCAACUCAUGUUGAUAAGCUGAAAGUCGGUUUCGGCUGACACUUACAGAUGGGCCCGCGGCGCAUUAGCUAGUUGGUGAGGUAACGGCUCACCAAGGCAACGAUGCGUAGCCGACCUGAGAGGGUGAUCGGCCACACUGGGACUGAGACACGGCCCAGACUCCUACGGGAGGCAGCAGUAGGGAAUCUUCCACAAUGGACGAAAGUCUGAUGGAGCAACGCCGCGUGAGCGAUGAAGGCCUUCGGGUCGUAAAGCUCUGUUGUUAGGGAAGAACAAGUAUCGGAGUAACUGCCGGUACCUUGACGGUACCUAACCAGAAAGCCACGGCUAACUACGUGCCAGCAGCCGCGGUAAUACGUAGGUGGCAAGCGUUGUCCGGAAUUAUUGGGCGUAAAGCGCGCGCAGGCGGUCCUUUAAGUCUGAUGUGAAAGCCCACGGCUCAACCGUGGAGGGUCAUUGGAAACUGGGGGACUUGAGUGCAGAAGAGGAAAGCGGAAUUCCACGUGUAGCGGUGAAAUGCGUAG